CGAAUUCAUCGUGGCUUGUGAUGGGAUUAACAGUAAAAAUCGGAGCUAUUUUAAAUUUCUUCCUGACAGGAAGAACAAAAAGAGAAGACAAAAUGCAUCUUUCUAAAGCCCCUCCAACAGUGUGAACACAUAAUAAAAUACAAUAUUUGCGAGUUAUUAAUUAAAGCUUGACUCCGAAGAAAGUCUGUUUAAGUAUACACAUGUGGUGUCCUUCAGCAGGAAAAAAUAUCAUAGGAAUUUGUUUUUUCAGUUUGAGUUGUGACGAGCUUUUCAAAGCAUCAAGAGGCAAGUGUAUCAACAAGUAAAAGAAACAUCGAGCAUGCAUUUAUUUUAAUCUUGCUCUGGGUGCCAGCGAGCAUACCAAACCUUGACCUUUUCAAAGGGUGACUACACUUGAAUAUGACAAGGAAUUAAGGAUUACAAUCUCAAAAGUUUCAGGUCUUUUGACCAUAUAGAAGUUUUGAUGGCAGCUGUAAAACAGGGACACAUAUGUUUGGUUACAAAGGAUAUAAAGACCCCAACCUGUGGUACCAUGCCUUGCUUGUGUUUCUCCUUUCUUCUUCUCCAGUGACUUUCAAAGCUUCUUUCUUGUCCUCCCUUAUCCCUUGGAAACACACCCUGCCGAUUUUCUCUCGGAUCAGAAGCAUGGACAACAAAAAUGGCACCCCAGAGGAGAAAGGAAAUGCUAGCCUUCCACCAAGAAGGGGUCAAAUCAAAGCCAAAAUUGGUGAAGACCUAAAGACAUUUAUAACAGGAUGGGUAGGGGGAAAGAGUGAUAAAGAUGGUGGCAAAAACUUGAUCUAUUUUCCAGAAAGUGGCUCUUGCUCCAAGUAAACAUGGUCAACUGGCUGUGUUAUUCUUAGUCUAGUAUCUCAAGAGAGGAAAAUGAGGGGGCGGCGGGGAUGGGGUUUGUGGGUGUUUAGAUUAGCUCGCAUAUAAUUUGGUUAAUUUUACCGGAUUUGAAGUUAAUAAUUAUAUAAAUCUUCAGUAAUCUUGAAAAACUCGAACUCAUAACUAUUAAAAAUAAAUUUAAAAUUUUAUCAGAUCUCAGGAUUGGAUGGGUUUUUUUCAGCAGUAUGUGUUGUUGUUAGAACUUGCUUGGGAGUUGGGAAGUUGUCACCGUGCAAGCACUCCUUUCUUUGCCAUUUCCUGCACUUAUUUUGUAAUUUAUGUAAUGCAUGUAUGUGGAUCCCCCUGUUUCUUUCUCUGAACUGUCAGCUCUCGGUGGUUUAUUUAUUAA
Molecule: long non-coding RNA, 1240 nt
Organism: Populus trichocarpa (black cottonwood)
Lineage: Eukaryota; Viridiplantae; Streptophyta; Magnoliopsida; Malpighiales; Salicaceae
Exons: 2
Source: RefSeq, a predicted model, not a curated record